RNAcentral lists this ribosomal RNA (434 nucleotides) under uncultured Lachnospiraceae bacterium. RNAcentral describes it as "bacterial SSU rRNA". It matches the Rfam family "Bacterial small subunit ribosomal RNA", at positions 341 to 792 of the family's 1533-position model. The record is from RNAcentral. Lineage: Bacteria; Bacillati; Bacillota; Clostridia; Lachnospirales; Lachnospiraceae.
ACGGAAGGCAGCAGUGGGGAAUAUUGCACAAUGGGGGAAACCCUGAUGCAGCGACGCCGCGUGAGUGAAGAAGUAUUUCGGUAUGUAAAGCUCUAUCAGCAGGGAAGAAAAUGACGGUACCUGACUAAGAAGCCCCGGCUAACUACGUGCCAGCAGCCGCGGUAAUACGUAGGGGGCAAGCGUUAUCCGGAUUUACUGGGUGUAAAGGGAGCGUAGACGGCGAUGCAAGUCUGAUGUGAAAGCCCGGGGCUCAACCCCGGCACUGCAUUGGAAACUGUGUUGCUAGAGUGCGGGAGAGGUAAGUGGAAUUCCUAGUGUAGCGGUGAAAUGCGUAGAUAUUAGGAGGAACACCAGUGGCGAAGGCGGCUUACUGGACUGUAACUGACGUUGAGGCUCGAAAGCGUGGGGAGCAAACAGGAUUAGAUACCCUGGUA